GCCCUGUGGUUAACUGGUCCUGUUAUUUCAAUGCAGUGUACCGGUUUUUGAUAAAAGGGCAGACAGAGAUACUGUGAUGAACUGCAUGGGAUCUGCAUUUGUUUAGUGGUUCCCAUAGCCCGGCCACAGUAACACCC
Molecule: non-coding RNA, 137 nt
Organism: Pelobates cultripes (western spadefoot toad)
Lineage: Eukaryota; Metazoa; Chordata; Amphibia; Anura; Pelobatidae
Source: the annotation of a GenBank genome assembly